RNAcentral lists this transfer RNA (75 nucleotides) under Stephanopyxis turris. RNAcentral's name for it is "tRNA-His". It matches the Rfam family "tRNA". From Rfam's summary of the family: Transfer RNA (tRNA) molecules are approximately 80 nucleotides in length. Their secondary structure includes four short double-helical elements and three loops (D, anti-codon, and T loops). Further hydrogen bonds mediate the characteristic L-shaped molecular structure. tRNAs have two regions of fundamental functional importance: the anti-codon, which is responsible for specific mRNA codon recognition, and the 3' end, to which the tRNAs corresponding amino acid is attached (by aminoacyl-tRNA synthetases). tRNAs cope with the degeneracy of the genetic code in two manners: having more than one tRNA (with a specific anti-codon) for a particular amino acid; and 'wobble' base-pairing, i.e. permitting non-standard base-pairing at the 3rd anti-codon position. Lineage: Eukaryota; Bacillariophyta; Melosirophyceae; Stephanopyxales; Stephanopyxidaceae. The record is from RNAcentral.
GGCGGCUAUAACUCAGUUGGUUAGAGUGUUAGGUUGUGGUUCUAAAAGUCAUGGGUUCAAGUCCCAUUAUCCGCC